Molecule: long non-coding RNA, 1544 nt
Organism: Paramisgurnus dabryanus
Lineage: Eukaryota; Metazoa; Chordata; Actinopteri; Cypriniformes; Cobitidae
Source: RefSeq, a predicted model, not a curated record
GACAUUGUUACCUACACCUGAUGAAGGUACACCACAUUGCUGUUUGUCUGCCCUACGGGAAGUAUGUACACCAAGGCCAGACCUUACUGACACACCCAUACCUAAUUGCACCCUGACAUAUUAUGUGGAUGGGUCCUCUUCCAGAGACGACAGAGGAAUAAACAGGGUGGGGUGGGCGGUUGUGUCUGACUUUGAAGUAGUGAAAUCCGGAUGCUUACCACCUCAGAAAUCUGCAAAGGUGGCUGAAUUGCAUGCACUAACACAAGCUUGUCAACUUGCUACUAAUCAAUCUAUAACCAUUUACAUUGACUGCUGAUUUUACUGACAGUUUCUCUCCUAUAACAAAUUUUACUCCUUUCUCAAAUAGCUGUGUGCAAAUGCAAAGCACACACCAAGGAACAGGACGUGAUCUCCAGAGGAAAUGCACGCACGGAUGCGGAAGCAUCUCUCAUGACUACUAACAAAAACGUUUCUCUUACACAGAUUUCCCAGGAAAAGGAAGCCGAAACACCACAGGAGUUACUAAUAAGCAUGCAAACAUUUUCUCUUCCAACAGAAAUAGCUCUAUGGAAAUCGUGUGGAGCAACCAAAACUCCUGAAGGGAUUUGGAUGGGUCCAAAUCAAAAACCUUGCUUACCUAAACAUUUUUAUUCCCAUUUUGCUAGGUUGACACAUGGGGUCACGGUGACAUGCGAUACUCUUCAAAAUGAAAAUGACAUGUUGCAAUAUUGUAUUUCUAUGUCCUCUGUAUUUCAAAAUAUCUCCAAAGCAGGUUAAAUCAGCCCUACCCCGUCCAGUAGAAGAACCAUUACACAACAUCAAACCAGGGGAUUACGUGGUGGUAAAGAACCUCAGGAGGAAAUCCUGGAAAGCCAGACGGUGGGAGGGGCCAUUUCAGGUUCUGCUGACGACUCACACCGCUGUGAAGGUCGCGGAGCGUGCCACCUGGGUGCACGUUGCCCAUUGCCGGAGGGUUGGUCCUGGACUGCAAGGUGUAAACCAAAGGGAGGACGGCUAGUCGACUGCUACGGACCACUUUUUCGUAUUGGUGGGAACCACAGAUACCUGUAUACUGCAAGUUUAUACGAAGAACGACACGAGAGAACUGCAACAGCUCACAAAGUAUUGGAGGACGACUCCAGUAUUCUGGGUUUGGUUUGGACACACGCACACGACAUCUUUAAUGAUAGCUUGGCACGACUGCACCGUGUGGUCCUACCAAACCCGAACCUACAAAGGAAAUUAAUCAACAAGGGCUCACGACCCCAACUCUAACUGUGCUCAGGGCUCACGACCCCAACUCUAACUGUGCUCAAUCCGGAAUCAUCAAGGGCUCACGACCCCAACUCUAACUGUGCUCAAUUUCUUCAAGAAAACGAACUAUUUUUCUUUUUUCAAAAAUGAGAUUCAUGAUCAUACUAUGUGUGUGUGCAUUUUUACUUUUGCAACUGCACAGAACUAUAUGUACACUAUGGUUAAGGGUAAUAACCAGAGCUACGUAACGAUGACAGUAAAUGAAGUUAUGAAUAAAUCAUAAAAAGGGA